GGAUGUGAUCAUACCAGCACUAAAGCACCGGAUCCCAUCAGAACUCCGAAGUUAAGCGUGCUUGGGCGAGAGUAGUACUAGGAUGGGUGACCUCCUGGGAAGUCCUCGUUGUUGCAUCCC
This 120-nucleotide ribosomal RNA is filed under the name Oryza sativa Japonica Group (Japanese rice). Lineage: Eukaryota; Viridiplantae; Streptophyta; Magnoliopsida; Poales; Poaceae. The record is from RNAcentral.